CGAGAAUCCUGAGUGGAAGGGAUCUGAACUUUCAUGUCAUGUACUUCGAGAAGAGGGUAGAUGAGACUCAAGAAUGAUAAUCAGACCAGUCCUACUCCUCCCAACCCCCAAAAGAUGGCAUUUACACAUCACGGAAACCUAUGGGUCUAACAGGUUAUUCUCUCUCUCUCAGUUCUUGGGAAAAGGGAGACAAGCCCUCGGCCAGAUUCCUUUAGGGAAGAGUUCUCUGUGCCGGUGGCUGGAGCUUGCGGUGCGUGCUCAGCCAGGAGGCCCCAGCCAGGCACCUCUAGACUCCGAUGUGCCACAGAGGGCAGGGGCUCCCGCUGUCACUUCCAUUUUAGACCAAACAGCUCCUGGGUGCAGCGACUCUUUCACCCUCUCUUCAGGGUGGGGAGAAACGGGGUGGACUGGAGCCCGCGCGGCCCUCACGAACUCUCCCUGAGCAGCCCCAGCUUCCGCAGGGCCUCCCUGCGCGCCUCCUCCGAGGAGCCGCGGCCCGCGAACUGCACGGUGAUGCCCUGGGGCCGGGGCAGGGAGUCUGCGCGGCGCCAGUCCUGGGCGCCGUUGGGCUGCCGGGGCCCGGGGAAGCUCUGACGGGCCCGCGUGCUGGGCAGGGCCGGGCCAGGGCGGAAGCAGAGGGACUUCCCAGCGGGCGCGAAGGAGCUGGGUGCGCUCUUCAGGGCCUCGUGCGCACUUGGGAAGCCGUUGGCCAGCGCCGGGCCCCGCGGAGCCUGACCCCCUGCCCGGAGACUCUCAGCGGGGCCCGGCAGGCCCCGGCCACGCGCCACCCGCUCCGGGGAGGAGCCGCCCCCUGGGGCCCCCUCGCCGGCGUCCCCCGCGGCGGGGAAGGCGCCGGCGUGGCCGUGGAUGGUGGCCAACACCUGCGCCCUGCGCUCCUGCACGCUGACGGCCGCCCUGGACAGGGUCCUGCGGGGCUCCCGGGCCGCGCCGUUGGUGACGAUGAUGUUGCUGGGGAAGCGGGCAGGUGCAGGCCCUGGAAGACAAGGGAGGAGCCUGUGAGCCACCGGCCCACGUGAAAGUAAAUGCAUGAAGUUCCCUCUCGCUGAACUGAAAAGAGCCUCAACCUGGACCUGACACCAACUUCGCCGGUGCUGCCUGGCUGGUUGCUCUAGCGCCCUGAAGGAGAGGAAUGCAGUCAUAUUUCACUGUGAUUUUCAGUGUCAUUUCCACGAAGACUAAUGAUGUUGAGCUUUUUUUUCUCCAUAAUACAGGAAAGAGACCCAAACCCAUGAAGAAUGAGAUACAUGUACAGUUUUGAUUAUAAAACCAAAGAAUAAUGGCUUCACAAGAUGACGGCUGGGCUCCUGGGCUGCCUUCAGUGUCUUUAAACAGAGAUAGAGUCUUGCUAUGUUGUCCAGGCUGACACUGAACUCUUGGGCUCCAACGAUCCUCCUGCCCCGGCCUCCUGAGUACCUGGGAUUAUAGGCACAAGUCACCAUGCCCAGCCGGAAUAAUCUGAAGGAAAGACGGGUAUAUUCAAGAUGACUUUGCUGCUGGAAAUAUGACAGAAUAAUGUGGUAUCUUCUUCUGCACUUCCAAGCUCUUUCACACUCAGGCUCUUCCUGGCUUUUCUGCCUCAGCCACCAUAAACUGUGGUUGCUUCUCCAGCUCUGUUACAGUUCAGACUUGAGGGGAGGUGACAAGAGCUAACAUGUUACCAUGGGGAGCCUGGCUGACAUCUCCGAAACUGAAGACUCUAUGGAAGCCUCAUGCUAUUGCAAUGUGUACAUCAAAAGUAAAGUACCCCAGGUUAAAACUAUGAGGAAGUUGCCAUCUUUACUUCCAGGAGCAAAGACACUGAAACUGUCCCCUGUAAGCCCCUUAAUUUCAUACAGUCCUCUGACUGCCCCCCCAACCCUGGCUACUUUUUUUUGAAAUAAGGUCUCACUCUGUCAUCCAGGCUGGAGUGCAGUGGCAAAAUCACAAUACCCUGCAGCCUUGACCUCAUGGGCUCAAGCAGUCCUCCCACCUCAGCCUCCUGGGUAGCUGGGACUACAGGCUUGCACUACCACACCCAGCUUAUUUUUUGUAGAGACAGAGUUUCGUCAUGUUGCCCAGGCUGGUCUCAGGAGUCACUCCUGAGCUCAAGUGAUCCGCCUGCCUUGGCCUCCCACAGUGCUGGGAUUACAGGAGUGAGCCACCAUGUCUGGUCCUCUGACCCUUUUAGCAGGAAAUCCAGCCCAGCCCCUGAACGGCAUGUUAGACAGUUCAACAAAGCCUUCUAGAAGACCAAAGAAGACUCAUAGGAAUAAGCCUCUUGCUGAUUAAUGGAAACAUGACCAUUUGUGGAGAAAGUGCAAUCUGCAUUGAACACCUUUAGGGGAACCUGUCAUUUAAGACUUCAAGCAUUACCAUGAAAACUUCCUCUGAAACACCUUACAGACAUCUCUGUAAAACAGAUUUAAAAAGAAACACAUUUCUGCUUAAUCGGUACACAUCAAAUGGCGAUUUAAGAGCAAGGCUAGGAAACCAGAAGAUGAUAUGCAUAUACAUAAAGUUGCCACUAUUCCAAAUAGUAAAAUAAAGACAAAGUCAAUGGUCCUAGGAGAGCUGGUGGGUUGUGGAGCCAGGAGAGAAAGGCAGCUCCCUUCACCUUCCCUGUACAUUCCAGGAGGCCCUAGAAUGACCUAGAUGGUGUUACGCACAAAGCCCUCCUUUUCCCAUCCCGCCAUCAUCUCAGGAGCAAAUGGCCACACUCGGGUAUACGGAGCAGCUCAAGCAACCAGGUCUUCCUGCCAUUCCCCUGAAAGGGCUGGUUUUGCCAAACGCCAGAGCCACAUUGUGUUAAUCAGCGCCCAUCCCUAGACACAGGGGCUUGCAGCCUUGUCACACAAAUGAGCCAUGGAGAUGUUUCCGACUCCUCCCCUCCCUGCCACUCACAAGCAGCCAGCUGCCGAGCCCUGCAGACUCUUCCUUUACGACGUCAGUUGUAUCCACUUCCCUUCUGGUCCCACACCCAAGUUCAGGACCAUUUUAGCACGUGCCUACAUUAUUGCCACAGCCAUUGUCUUCAUCUGUUUUGUGCUGCUGUACAAGGAACAAACUUAUUUGGCUUGUGGUUUGGGAGGUUGGGAAAUCCAAGAUCCAGGGCCACAUCUGCUGAAGGCCUUCCUGCUGUACCGUAACAUAACGGGAGGCAUCACUGGUGAGAGAGAGAGAGCACAAGAAAGGGCCAAACUCGCUUUUAUAGUGAACCCACUCCUGCAAUAACAACGUUCAAAUGCUAACCACCUCUUCCCGUCCCUGCCCCUCAACAUGGCCAUGCUGGGGAUUAAGUGUCCAACACAUGAGCUUUGGGAUACAUGUUCCAACUACAGCCGCCACCUGCUGUCCUCCUUGCCUUCUCCCUCUUCUCUACACUUCUGCCGGAUUCUCUAGUUGGAUUAAUCUUGAAACAUCACUUAAUUGUUACCACUCUCCCAAAAGCAGUCAAUUUUAACCCAUUCCCAACAGGCUUGAGAAUAAAA
RNAcentral lists this long non-coding RNA (3488 nucleotides) under Homo sapiens (human). RNAcentral describes it as "non-protein coding PROSER2-AS1:5". The record is from RNAcentral. Lineage: Eukaryota; Metazoa; Chordata; Mammalia; Primates; Hominidae.